This is a long non-coding RNA of Rhododendron vialii, 1425 nucleotides long. RefSeq lists it as uncharacterized. NCBI's taxonomy places the organism in Eukaryota, Viridiplantae, Streptophyta, Magnoliopsida, Ericales, Ericaceae. The record is from RefSeq and is a predicted model, not a curated record. The transcript has 5 exons.
GAGGGAGGGAGAGGGUGUGAUGGGGAAGAUUCGAACUUCAAUUGCGGUAGGUAAUUCUUAGCCUCUUUUGCUAUUGAUCAAUUAAUGCAUCUUGUAAUUGAACUGGUUGUUCUUGGGGUUUCAAUUAAGAUUGGUACCCUUGAAACAAGUUUAAGAGUUGUAUUCCAUUGUUUUCUCCUAGAAUAGCUCGAAUUGGUGACUGGAAGCACAGAAUUAGGUCUGAGGUAAUAAAGUUUGUUGCAACUAGGGCUGAAUUCCAAUGUUACGGGUUGGUAAGCUGAGGGAAUUGACUGAAUCUAUUUCUAUGUUUGCUUGUUUUGGCUAAAAUUGUUUAUUAAAAAGCAAGAAUUUUGUGCUAGAUGCUGGAAAUAACCUUCAUAGCUGCUGUAAAUGUAUCUUAAGUGCUGAAUUUCUUUUUAAUCUACCACAAUACAAGCCGAAAGGCUAAUAGUUAAUUGCACAAGUGCUGGAAUUGGAUUUAUAGUUGCUAGAAAUAAGCUUUGUGUCUAUUGUAGAUCUACUGUAAAUGAAUGCUUAGAGCUGAAUUGCAUCUUAAUCUGUUAGGACUUGUAUCAGAAACUAGAAAUCAAUUGUUAUAUCUAUUGAAGGAAAGAGUAUUAGAGAAUAAUGGUUGCAAUCCUUUCUUUUUACGAGUAUCUCAAUAUUGAUACAUACAUGUGUGGAUUAAUGUGUUACACGCCAAGUUCAGAGGCGGCGACGAGUACCGUGACUCCACGUAGGGAGUGAGCUUGUGUUGGUACCUUUUUGCUUGGCCUCAAAUGCAGAUUGAGUCUUCUUGGUUGUGUGGAUUGUCUUAGAGGGACAAAAAAUCUGAAGCAUACGUUUAUUCAAAAAUUGUACACGAAACUUCAAAAGGGUGGGUGGCUAUUGGUUUUGUUCUCAAGUAAACCUAAGAAUCAAUGGAAUGCCAUCACAAAGCACCCUAUUCCUGCUGGGUAUGGUGCUUGGUCUUCAAUGGUUAUGAGACUGGGUGAGGAGCUGCAAAUGGAUAGCAGUGAAUAUCUUUCAAGACUAAGAAACACACUGUAGAAGCAGGGUUUCUGCAUAAAAGCUGUAAUUAGCAGCCAUAUGGAUGCUUUUACCAGCCUGCACUCAACUAUGCACCAUGCUUUCCCUUUAUAGGUGCAAAGAAGCAGUGAUAUUGUUGUAGUGCCAUGCCUUGUAUUGAAAAGAGCACACAAGACCAACCAUUGAGGGUAUGAGAAUGGCUGCUUAAAGCAGAGUUUAAUCCCCUUAAAAUAUUGAUGAACUUUGCUAGCUUAGGAAACUUGCCAUAUGGGGAUUCACACUAUUCUUUCUUUCAAAGGGCUAACCUCCCUCAACAGGUAAAGCACUCAUAUCUUACUUCUCAUUUGCAUGUAAAAUCAGUUUAGCACAUUCAUGGAUUGGAACUUGUGAAUAAUU